This is a long non-coding RNA of Scomber japonicus (chub mackerel), 275 nucleotides long. RefSeq lists it as uncharacterized. Lineage: Eukaryota; Metazoa; Chordata; Actinopteri; Scombriformes; Scombridae. The record is from RefSeq and is a predicted model, not a curated record. The transcript is spliced from 3 exons.
GAGGAAUCAUUGGGAUCAUCAUACUCAUCUGCCUGGUUGUCACUGUGUGCACUCUCAUGUUUCUCAAGUGGUUUAAGUCGACACAUCCACAACAGACUGAGAGUCAAACAGGUGAAGAAGAGCUAGCUAAAACAGAAGAAGAAGGGAUCCAUUAUGGAGAGAUCAACUUCUCCAAGCAGAGACCUGGACAGUCCUCUGACUCAGUGCAGGCCAGCAGAGAGCAGCAGGAUAUUGUGUAUGAACAGGUCAAAGUGUCCACGCCACAGACUGCUGAC